RNAcentral lists this ribosomal RNA (420 nucleotides) under uncultured bacterium. Its description in RNAcentral is "bacterial SSU rRNA". It matches the Rfam family "Bacterial small subunit ribosomal RNA", at positions 340 to 752 of the family's 1533-position model. The record is from RNAcentral.
UACGGAAGGCAGCAGUGGGGAAUAUUGCACAAUGGGCGCAAGCCUGAUGCAGCCAUGCCGCGUGUAUGAAGAAGGCCUUCGGGUUGUAAAGUACUUUCAGCGGGGAGGAAGGCGAUGUGGUUAAUAACCGCGUCGAUUGACGUUACCCGCAGAAGAAGCACCGGCUAACUCCGUGCCAGCAGCCGCGGUAAUACGGAGGGUGCAAGCGUUAAUCGGAAUUACUGGGCGUAAAGCGCACGCAGGCGGUCUGUUAAGUCAGAUGUGAAAUCCCCGGGCUUAACCUGGGAACUGCAUUUUGAAACUGGCAGGCUUGAGUCUCGUAGAGGGGGUAGAAUUCCAGGUGUAGCGGUGAAAUGCGUAGAGAUCUGGAGGAAUCCGGUGGCGAAGGCGGCCCCUGGGACGAAGACUGACGCUCAGGGU